AUGGCGACCGGCGCACGGGUGAGUAACACGUAUCCAACCUGCCGAUAACUCGGGGAUAGCCUUUCGAAAGAAAGAUUAAUGCCCGAUGGCAUAAUUAGACCGCAUGGUCUUAUUAUUAAAGAAUUUCGGUUAUCGAUGGGGAUGCGUUCCAUUAGGCAGUUGGUGAGGUAACGGCUCACCAAACCUUCGAUGGAUAGGGGUUCUGAGAGGAAGGUCCCCCACAUUGGAACUGAGACACGGUCCAA
This 245-nucleotide ribosomal RNA is filed under the name uncultured bacterium. RNAcentral's name for it is "partial 16S ribosomal RNA". It matches the Rfam family "Bacterial small subunit ribosomal RNA", at positions 88 to 334 of the family's 1533-position model. The record is from RNAcentral.